CUCCAGAACAAAGGGAAGACAGGCCUGUGGAGGAGCCGCCGCCGAGCAUGGGAACCCAGGAAAGACCGCUGGAGUGUAAUGUCAAGAUCUCCGCUCACUACAACCUCCGCCUCCUGGGUUCAAGGGAUUCUCCUGCCUCAGCCUCCUGAGUAGCUGGGAUUACAGGCACACACCACCGCAACCAGCUAAUUUUUGUAUUUUUAGUAGAGAUGGGGUUUCACCACGUUGGUCAGGCUGGUCUCGAACUCCUGACCCCAAGUGACCUGUUCGCCUCAGCCUCCCAAAGUGCUAGGAUUACAAGCGUGAGCCACCACGCCCGGCCCAGACUUCUUUCUAUGUCUUAUUUUGGGGAAACAAGCAAGCGUAAUAAUGGUUACGUCCAGCAAUUUCAAGACAUUAUUGCCCUGACCCAUAAAGCAAUUCCUGUUUUUCCUCCAGUACUCAGCCACGGAUUCAAAAGCAAGUGCUGUGUCCUCUAACCGUCUGUCCUACUUGACUGACCAGGAACUAAAUCUGCAGAGAGCACUGGCAAAUUCUCCCUCCCCUAAAUACUAAUAACCCUGCCUCCUAUAUUGGAAAGUCACCUAUAAAUAUUGAUCACUAAUAUUAGCUAGUCAUGUCUACAAUCUGUACACAAACAUUUUGGCAAUUUCUCUGUAGAAUAAAGAAACUGGGCGCUUGAAACU
Molecule: long non-coding RNA, 686 nt
Filed under: Homo sapiens (human)
Lineage: Eukaryota; Metazoa; Chordata; Mammalia; Primates; Hominidae
Description: HSALNT0116359
Source: RNAcentral